AGCAGGGUGGGGAUCAGAGCAUGGAAAAUUACUAAGAGGAAACAUCAGGGGUGUUGGGGGAAAUCUUCAAGAGGAUGUGACUGCUGGUUGACCCCUGAGCUGGACCUGGGCAACUGGAGGAUCCCCAGCCCCCACCUUGGAAUGUGCAUUCCACUUGCCUUCCCCACUCCCUGAAGCUGCCCUGAGGACACAGCCUGAGAGAGCACUGUGGCGGUGAGACCAUCUGGAUGGUAUACGUCACUGAGCCCAGUUAAGGCCUCUAUACAAACUGUAAGAUUUUGACGGGUGGGUGUGGAAAACUGCUCGUCUCGCGGCCGCCCAAGACAAGCCUCAUAAUGCUGCAAUGAAUUAUCCUGUUUUCAAAAUGUGGUUCACUUGGAUCCAGACGAGCCUGGGUUGGCGAGACGAGAGAGCUGUGCCGUCGCUGUGCUCAGAGGCCUGGCGCGCAUGACUCACUGGCUCCAAGAUUAGUCACCCCCUCCCCCAAACACCCAAUGGCAAAAACAGAUCAUUUCGGGAGCACUGGGGAUGCACCAUCGCAGGCCACCAUCUGAGGCCACCAUCUGAGGAGGCCGCCAGGCUCGGGAAAACCCAACCCAGUCCUGCUAAGAGAAUGACUCCAAGGAACUCCCAAGCCUGUUUGACUAAGGCAAGACUAAUUACUGUAAUUAGCUGACUGCACAAUUAGAAGUGAUUAAGCGCAUUACAGAAGAGGCUCGGCUCCCACAACUGGAAACCUCCCAGCGCAGCCCGUUAGCAAGACAGGCAAUGGAGACUUCUCUUUAAAUUCACCGAAACGUAGCAGCGGUUCCCAGAUCUGGGAAGCAGCAGCAUGCUGGACGCCGGGACCAGGAGCAAGCCAGCACCGCUCCCUUCCGAGAACCUAGAACCACGAGUGAGAGCGCGAGGCUGCGCGAAGAGGAGUUUAGAAAAGCGAGCAGCUGCGGGCCGAGGAGGAGCCACAGAGACCUGGGGACUUGGAUGGCCCCAGACUGACUAGAGACCAGGGGUCCCUGCUUGCAUGUCAAAGACUGACCCCAUCCUCUACCUGGGGCUGUAUAAGCCUUUGGGUUUGGGGACAAUUAAGGAGUGAAGGAGCCCCAUGGAGGAGAUACUGAGCUUCCUGCUCAUCAGGCAAAUGGGGAAUUAAGCCAGUUUUCUUUAUGGGAGAAAAUGUAAAAAGACAGGAUCACCUUGCACCCUCUCUUUGUGGGUCAGUUCAUCCUACUGACUCAGGUAUCACCCGGACUCUGAGAUAUCUUUGCACUGGGGUAACAUCUCCCACCUUAGCAGCAACUUCUAGAACCUGUGCUCCAACCAACCUGGGCUGCCUCCUUUCUCCAACUGCCCCUUGGCCUUCUGCCUCUGGGGCUUUGCUCUUACUGCCCCCUGGCCUCCAGUGCCUUCCCUUCCCACCCGUAAUCAUUAAAAUCCUACUCAUUCUUUACGACCUAAUUCCAGUGUGACUUGCGACAUGAUGCCUCUCUGAUCACUUCACCCAGAAGCCAUCUUCCUUUCCUUUUACUUUUGCAGGAUUUUCUUUUGGCAUUUGCAUGCCUCUUUUUCACAUCACACCUAAUAGUGUAUUGUAGUUAUUUGUCAAUUUGUCUUUUUAUAGCUAAUAGAUUGUAAACUGCAUAUCUUUAUGUCUCCCAUAGUGCCGUAUACAUAGAAAGUACCCCUUAAAUAAAAAAAUAAAAUAAAAUUGCUACCAAGGUGUGGUAGACAUUGGGAAUGUCUUUCCAAUACCUCUUAUCCUCCUCCCCAUUGUGUAGUCACCAUUGGUGUGAGUGGCAUUGGCCUCACUCAAUUCUAGGGGUGGUCCCCAAUGGUGUAAGACACUCCCAACCCACUUGCCAAAGUGAUAGGUUUUUUUGAGCCUGAGCCAAUCGGCACAUGGUCCUGGGGGUCCAAUCAGAAUGAGGCUCAGGACUUAAGCACAAUGAUUAUGGGAAGCGACAGCCCCUCUCCCCCCCAGACUAAUUGUCAAGAAAUUCCAACUGAGUUGUUCAGUUCCAACUGAGCUGCUGUUCACAGGCAUCUUGCAACCAUGAAGAAAGCCAGCCUAGAAAGGAAUCUGGCCCACAAAGGAGGACAGGGCAGAGAGAAUCAGAGAAACAGAGCUGGGGCCCUGGUUAAACCAUACUGGAAGCCUGCUCUAACAUUCAGCCUUUCAGCCAUGUGAACCAAUAAAUGCUCUUCAUGGUUUCUCUCUUGCAACCCAAAGUAUCCGACCCAGUGCACCGGGAACGCAUCAUUGUGGAUUCACACGUGCACAUGUGCAUUUGCAUGUACGCACACACACAACCUGAAUCUUACUAGGGAGAAGGGAGAAAACACACAUCUCCAAUUCCUGGGGUGGUGGCAACAUCUCAUUUUACCAAACUGCACACUUUAAAGCUUUUCAUAACAGUUACCAAGACAUGGAACUGAUGUCUUUUGAUAAUUUCUCAUUGAUUUCUGUAUUAAAAAUGAUUUUGUAGUUUUAACCUGAAUUCUUAAGAAUAUCUGACUCUAGCAACUAGUAAUAAAUUGUGAAAUUUUUUCCUUUAAAAAAAUUAAUAUAUUGUUUGUGGCCCCUUUAAUAGUACUUAAAGUAAUAAAAUCAGCUUUUACCUUAACGUGAAGUUUUUCAACAUUUUCCUUGCAAGGUGAAAUGGGGUUCUAACAACUGGAAGGCGAUAUUGACCUUUUCUUGACUGGUUCCCUGCCUUAACCUUGUUGACAAGUUUGUUUUCAGAUUUUCCAACCUGCUGUUCACUUGCUUUCUUGGCAAGCAUC
This 2781-nucleotide long non-coding RNA is filed under the name Equus caballus (horse). Its description in RNAcentral is "lncRNA (ENSECAG00000049665.1)". Lineage: Eukaryota; Metazoa; Chordata; Mammalia; Perissodactyla; Equidae. The record is from RNAcentral.